RNAcentral lists this ribosomal RNA (497 nucleotides) under uncultured bacterium. RNAcentral describes it as "partial 16S ribosomal RNA". It matches the Rfam family "Bacterial small subunit ribosomal RNA", at positions 28 to 507 of the family's 1533-position model. The record is from RNAcentral.
GAUGAACGCUGGCGGCGUGCCUAAUACAUGCAAGUCGAGCGGACGGACGAGAAGCUUGCUUCUCUGAUGUUAGCGGCGGACGGGUGAGUAACACGUGGAUAACCUACCUAUAAGACUGGGGUAACUUCGGGAAACCGGAGCUAAUACCGGAUAAUAUUUUGAACCGCAUGGUUCAAAAGUGAAAGACGGUCUUGCUGUCACUUAUAGAUGGAUCCGCGCUGCAUUAGCUAGUUGGUAAGGUAACGGCUUACCAAGGCAACGAUGCAUAGCCGACCUGAGAGGGUGAUCGGCCACACUGGAACUGAGACACGGUCCAGACUCCUACGGGAGGCAGCAGUAGGGAAUAUUCGGCAAUGGGCGAAAGCCUGACGGAGCAAUGCCGCGUGAGUGAUGAAGGUCUUCGGAUCGUAAAACUCUGUUAUUAGGGAAGAACAGCAGUGUAAGUAACUGUGGAUAUCUUGACGGUACCUAAACAGAAAGCCACGGCUAACUACGUG